This is a non-coding RNA of Drosophila virilis, 656 nucleotides long. The record is from RefSeq and is a predicted model, not a curated record. NCBI's taxonomy places the organism in Eukaryota, Metazoa, Arthropoda, Insecta, Diptera, Drosophilidae.
AUGCUGGAGGGCAGAAGAUGAAGUACAUGUGUGUUAUUCUCGACUGAUCGACCAGGAGAUACCCUACAUACAGGCGAGUCGCUUUGUCGGUCUGCUUCUAAUCGAACUAGUCCCUCAGUUUUAAAUCUAUUGGCAAGAAGUUUUGGGUUGGAACCAGAAUAUUAACUUCUUGUAUGUGCAACUCAUAGAAGGCGAUAUUUUCGACCCCAUAAAAUAUAUAUAUUCGUCUGAUAUAGCCAAGUCCAUCCGUCUGUCUGUUAGUUUCUAUGCGAACUCGUUUCUUACUUUACAUAAGUGCGUCUUUCUGCGAUAAGUCGUACAUGGAUCAGGCCACUAUAUCAUAUAGCUACCAAAGGAACAAUCGGCUUUUCAAGAUAUUUUCAUCAAACUCAGCAAAGCCGUAAGCCUUAUGUCUACAAGGGUAUUUAAUCCCCAGCGUGGCGAAGAUAGGAAUUCUUUCUGCUUUUUUUCAUAUCUAUGUCUAUGUAAACACACACGCUAAGCGUGCUUUCCUUGGGAAGAAACUAUAUUAAAUAACUUUUGUUAACCUUUCACAAUAUGUAGAUAAAACGCGUGAUAAAAAUAGCUUUUCAUGCUUUUCCUAAUGUCUAGAGAGAUAAAGUUGUCCAAAUAAACACUGAUAUUUUUAUACCCUA